RNAcentral lists this ribosomal RNA (329 nucleotides) under uncultured bacterium. RNAcentral describes it as "bacterial SSU rRNA". It matches the Rfam family "Bacterial small subunit ribosomal RNA", at positions 28 to 334 of the family's 1533-position model. The record is from RNAcentral.
GAUGAACGCUGGCGGCGUGCUUAACACAUGCAAGUCGAACGAAGCACUUAAGUUUGAUUCUUCGGAUGAAGACUUUUGUGACUGAGUGGCGGACGGGUGAGUAACGCGUGGGUAACCUGCCUCAUACAGGGGGAGUAACAGUUAGAAAUGACUGCUAAUACCGCAUAAGACCACAGCACCGCAUGAUGCAGGGGUAAAAACUACCGGUGGUAUGAGAUGGACCCGCGUCUGAUUAGCCAGUUGGCGGGGUAACGGGCCCACCCAAAGACGACGAUCGGUAGCCGGACUGAGAGGUUGAACGGCCACAUUGGGACUGAGACACGGCCCAG